GACGAACGCUGGCGGCGUGCUUAACACAUGCAAGUCGAACGGAAAGGCCCUGCGCUUGUGGGGUUCUCGAUUGGCGAACGGGUGAGAAACACGUGAGUAACCUGCCCUUGACAUUGUGGUAACUUCAGGAAACUGGGGCUCAUACCGGAUAGGAUCUCCUGCUGCAUGUGGUGGGUUGGAAAGUUUCGGCGGUUGGGGAUGGUCUGGCGGGUUAUCAGCUUGUUGGUGGGGUAGUGGCUUACCAAGGCUUUGACGGGUAGCCGGCCUGGGAGGGUGACCGGCCACAUUGGGACUGAGAUACGGAGCAGACUCCUACGGGAGGCAGCAGUGGGGAAUCUUACACAGUGGGCGGAAGCCUGAUGCAGCAACGCCGCGUGCGGGAUGACGGCCUUCGGGUUGUAAACCGCUUUCGCCUGUGACGAAGCGUGAGUGACGGUAAUGGGUAAAGAAGCAACGGCUAACUACGUG
RNAcentral lists this ribosomal RNA (468 nucleotides) under uncultured bacterium. Its description in RNAcentral is "partial 16S ribosomal RNA". It matches the Rfam family "Bacterial small subunit ribosomal RNA", at positions 28 to 507 of the family's 1533-position model. The record is from RNAcentral.